RNAcentral lists this ribosomal RNA (256 nucleotides) under uncultured Gardnerella sp. RNAcentral's name for it is "partial 16S ribosomal RNA". It matches the Rfam family "Bacterial small subunit ribosomal RNA", at positions 99 to 355 of the family's 1533-position model. Lineage: Bacteria; Bacillati; Actinomycetota; Actinomycetes; Bifidobacteriales; Bifidobacteriaceae. The record is from RNAcentral.
CGAACGGGUGAGUAAUGCGUGACCAACCUGCCCCAUGCUCCAGAAUAGCUCUUGGAAACGGGUGGUAAUGCUGGAUGCUCCAACUUGACGCAUGUCUUGUUUGGAAAGUGUUUAGUGGCAUGGGAUGGGGUCGCGUCCUAUCAGCUUGUAGGCGGGGUAAUGGCCCACCUAGGCUUCGACGGGUAGCCGGCCUGAGAGGGCGGACGGCCACAUUGGGACUGAGAUACGGCCCAGACUCCUACGGGAGGCAGCAGUA